CCUACGGGACGCAGCAGUGAGGAAUAUUGGUCAAUGGACGAGAGUCUGAACCAGCCAAGUAGCGUGAAGGAUGACUGCCCUAUGGGUUGUAAACUUCUUUUAUAUGGGAAUAAAAUGUUCCACGUGUGGGAUUUUGUAUGUACCAUAUGAAUAAGGAUCGGCUAACUCCGUGCCAGCAGCCGCGGUAAUACGGAGGAUCCGAGCGUUAUCCGGAUUUAUUGGGUUUAAAGGGAGCGUAGGUGGAUUGUUAAGUCAGUUGUGAAAGUUUGCGGCUCAACCGUAAAAUUGCAGUUGAAACUGGCAGUCUUGAGUACAGUAGAGGUGGGCGGAAUUCGUGGUGUAGCGGUGAAAUGCUUAGAUAUCACGAAGAACUCCGAUUGCGAAGGCAGUUCACUGGACUGCAACUGACACUGAGGCUCGAAAGUGUGGGUAUCAAACAGGAUUAGAUACCCCAGUAGUC
RNAcentral lists this ribosomal RNA (460 nucleotides) under uncultured bacterium. RNAcentral's name for it is "partial 16S ribosomal RNA". It matches the Rfam family "Bacterial small subunit ribosomal RNA", at positions 338 to 795 of the family's 1533-position model. The record is from RNAcentral.